GGAGUCAAUCGAGUGGUCGCGUCAGUCUAUUGACUGAUGAGGAAAGUCCGAACUCCAAAGGACAGGGUGCUCGCUAACAGCGAGGCGUUGGAAGGCGAUGGCAAGCGCCACAGAAAACAUACCACCUCGGGUUUCUCGAGGAAAGGGUGAGAAAGUGAGGUAAGAGCUCACUGGCAUUCACUGUGAAGUGGAUGAUCGGCAAGCCCCACCCGGAGCAAGACCAAGCAAUCGGGACUCAAUUUUGAGGGAAGCUGUCCGUUUCCUUUGACCGAUGGGUAGGUUGCAGAGCAGCAAUGUCUGCCGUAGAUAGAUGAUCACAUAGAACAGAAUUCGGCUUACGGAUUGACUCCUUGA
Molecule: RNase P RNA, 354 nt
Filed under: Calditrichota bacterium
Lineage: Bacteria; Pseudomonadati; Calditrichota
Description: Calditrichaeota bacterium RNase P RNA component class A
Rfam family: Bacterial RNase P class A
About the family: Ribonuclease P (RNase P) is a ubiquitous endoribonuclease, found in archaea, bacteria and eukarya as well as chloroplasts and mitochondria. Its best characterised activity is the generation of mature 5'-ends of tRNAs by cleaving the 5'-leader elements of precursor-tRNAs.
Source: RNAcentral